GCCGAAAAUUCUGCUGAACAUCAACCCAAAGCGCUCAAGGGGACCUUCAAGAAGAACUCGAAGUGGACGCCUAGACACUUGUUUGAGUAUUACUCUCUUGUUGCUAUAGGGUUCGAGACCAAGGGUGCUCGUGAGUAGUA
Long non-coding RNA from Coffea arabica (coffee), 140 nucleotides. RefSeq lists it as uncharacterized. The record is from RefSeq and is a predicted model, not a curated record. Lineage: Eukaryota; Viridiplantae; Streptophyta; Magnoliopsida; Gentianales; Rubiaceae.